AGAGUUUGAUCAUGGCUCAGGAUGAACGCUGGCGGCGUGCUUAACACAUGCAAGUCGAACGGUGAACACGGAGCUUGCUCUGUGGGAUCAGUGGCGAACGGGUGAGUAACACGUGAGCAACCUGCCCCUGACUCUGGGAUAAGCGCUGGAAACGGCGUCUAAUACUGGAUAUGUGACGUGACCGCAUGGUCUGCGUCUGGAAAGAAUUUCGGUUGGGGAUGGGCUCGCGGCCUAUCAGCUUGUUGGUGAGGUAAUGGCUCACCAAGGCGUCGACGGGUAGCCGGCCUGAGAGGGUGACCGGCCACACUGGGACUGAGACACGGCCCAGACUCCUACGGGAGGCAGCAGUGGGGAAUAUUGCACAAUGGGCGCAAGCCUGAUGCAGCAACGCCGCGUGAGGGACGACGGCCUUCGGGUUGUAAACCUCUUUUAGCAGGGAAGAAGCGAAAGUGACGGUACCUGCAGAAAAAGCGCCGGCUAACUACGUGCCAGCAGCCGCGGUAAUACGUAGGGCGCAAGCGUUAUCCGGAAUUAUUGGGCGUAAAGAGCUCGUAGGCGGUUUGUCGCGUCUGCUGUGAAAUCCGGAGGCUCAACCUCCGGCCUGCAGUGGGUACGGGCAGACUAGAGUGCGGUAGGGGAGAUUGGAAUUCCUG
Molecule: ribosomal RNA, 653 nt
Filed under: uncultured bacterium
Lineage: Bacteria
Also listed under: 1 other name
Description: bacterial SSU rRNA
Rfam family: Bacterial small subunit ribosomal RNA
Source: RNAcentral